CGCGUGGGAAUCUACCUUUUGCUACGGAAUAACUCAGGGAAACUUGUGCUAAUACCGUAUGUGCCCUUCGGGGGAAAGAUUUAUCGGCAAAGGAUGAGCCCGCGUUGGAUUAGCUAGUUGGUGGGGUAAAGGCCCACCAAGGCGACGAUCCAUAGCUGGUCUGAGAGGAUGAUCAGCCACACUGGGACUGAGACACGGCCCAGACUCCUACGGGAGGCAGCAGUGGGGAAUAUUGGACAAUGGGCGCAAGCCUGAUCCAGCCAUGCCGCGUGAGUGAUGAAGGCCCUAGGGUUGUAAAGCUCUUUCACCGGUGAAGAUAAUGACGGUAACCGGAGAAGAAGCCCCGGCUAACUUCGUGCCAGCAGCCGCGGUAAUACGAAGGGGGCUAGCGUUGUUCGGAUUUACUGGGCGUAAAGCGCACGUAGGCGGACUUUUAAGUCAGGGGUGAAAUCCCAGAGCUCAACUCUGGAACUGCCUUUGAUACUGGAAGUCUUGAGUAUGGUAGAGGUGAGUGGAAUUCCGAGUGUAGAGGUGAAAUUCGUAGAUAUUCGGAGGAACACCAGUGGCGAAGGCGGCUCACUGGACCAUUACUGACGCUGAGGUGCGAAAGCGUGGGGAGCA
Molecule: ribosomal RNA, 621 nt
Filed under: Brucella sp.
Lineage: Bacteria; Pseudomonadati; Pseudomonadota; Alphaproteobacteria; Hyphomicrobiales; Brucellaceae
Description: bacterial SSU rRNA
Rfam family: Bacterial small subunit ribosomal RNA
Source: RNAcentral